RNAcentral lists this ribosomal RNA (379 nucleotides) under Microcystis aeruginosa. Its description in RNAcentral is "bacterial SSU rRNA". It matches the Rfam family "Bacterial small subunit ribosomal RNA", at positions 196 to 593 of the family's 1533-position model. The record is from RNAcentral. RNAcentral also lists the same sequence under 1 other name. Lineage: Bacteria; Bacillati; Cyanobacteriota; Cyanophyceae; Chroococcales; Microcystaceae.
CAAGGUGAAACCUAAUUGGCCUGGAGAAGAGCUUGCGUCUGAUUAGCUAGUUGGUGGGGUAAGAGCCUACCAAGGCGACGAUCAGUAGCUGGUCUGAGAGGAUGAGCAGCCACACUGGGACUGAGACACGGCCCAGACUCCUACGGGAGGCAGCAGUGGGGAAUUUUCCGCAAUGGGCGAAAGCCUGACGGAGCAACGCCGCGUGAGGGAGGAAGGUCUUUGGAUUGUAAACCUCUUUUCUCAAGGAAGAAGUUCUGACGGUACUUGAGGAAUCAGCCUCGGCUAACUCCGUGCCAGCAGCCGCGGUAAUACGGGGGAGGCAAGCGUUAUCCGGAAUUAUUGGGCGUAAAGCGUCCGCAGGUGGUCAGCCAAGUCUGCU